UACGUAGGGUGCGAGCGUUAAUCGGAAUUACUGGGCGUAAAGCGUGCGCAGGCGGUUUGUAAGUCAGAUGUGAAAUCCCCGGGCUCAACCUGGGAACUGCGUUUGAAACUACAAGGCUAGAGUGUAGCAGAGGGGGGUAGAAUUCCACGUGUAGCAGUGAAAUGCGUAGAGAUGUGGAGGAAUACCAAUGGCGAAGGCAGCCCCCUGGGUUAACACUGACG
RNAcentral lists this ribosomal RNA (221 nucleotides) under uncultured bacterium. Its description in RNAcentral is "partial 16S ribosomal RNA". It matches the Rfam family "Bacterial small subunit ribosomal RNA", at positions 524 to 745 of the family's 1533-position model. The record is from RNAcentral.